GAUGAAGAACGUAGCGAAAUGCGAUAAGUAAUGUGAAUUGCAGAAUUCAGUGAAUCAUCGAAUCUUUGAACGCACGUUGCGCCCGCCAGUAUUCUGGCGGGCAUGCCUGUUCGAGCGUCAUUACAACCCUCAGGCCCCCGGGCCUGGCGUUGGGGAUCGGCGGAAGCCCCCUGUGGGCACACGCCGUCCCUCAAAUACAGUGGCGGUCCCGCCGCAGCUUCCAUUGCGUAGUAGCUAACACCUCGCAACUGGAGAGCGGCGCGGCCAUGCCGUAAAACACCCAACUUCUGAAUGUUGACCUCGAAUCAGGUAGGAAUACCCGCUGAACUUAAGCAUAUCAAUAAGCGGAGGA
This 352-nucleotide unclassified non-coding RNA is filed under the name soil metagenome. RNAcentral's name for it is "partial contains 5.8S ribosomal RNA, internal transcribed spacer 2, and large subunit ribosomal RNA". The stretch from base 1 to 120 matches the Rfam family "5.8S ribosomal RNA", at positions 35 to 154 of the family's 154-position model. The record is from RNAcentral.